RNAcentral lists this ribosomal RNA (433 nucleotides) under uncultured bacterium. RNAcentral describes it as "bacterial SSU rRNA". It matches the Rfam family "Bacterial small subunit ribosomal RNA", at positions 917 to 1350 of the family's 1533-position model. The record is from RNAcentral.
GGGCCCGCACAAGCGGUGGAGUAUGUGGUUUAAUUCGAUGCAACGCGAAGAACCUUACCAGGGUUUGACAUCCUGCGAAUCUCUUGGAAACAGGAGAGUGCCUUCGGGAACGCAGUGACAGGUGGUGCAUGGCUGUCGUCAGCUCGUGUCGUGAGAUGUUGGGUUAAGUCCCGCAACGAGCGCAACCCACGUCUUUAGUUGCCAGCAUUUAGUUGGGCACUCUAGAGAGACCGCCGGUGACAAACCGGAGGAAGGUGUGGAUGACGUCAAGUCAUCAUGCCCCUUACGUCCUGGGCUACACACGUACUACAAUGCUACGGACAAAGAGCAGCUAACUCGCGAGGACAAGCAAAUCCCAUAAACCGUGGCUCAGUUCAGAUCGUAGGCUGCAACUCGCCUACGUGAAAGGCGGAAUCGCUAGUAAUCGCAGGUC